RNAcentral lists this ribosomal RNA (663 nucleotides) under uncultured bacterium. Its description in RNAcentral is "bacterial SSU rRNA". It matches the Rfam family "Bacterial small subunit ribosomal RNA", at positions 159 to 809 of the family's 1533-position model. The record is from RNAcentral.
GGUGCUAAUACCGCAUAACCAUAGUUACCGCAUGGUAGCUAUGUAAAAGGUGGCUAUGCUACCGCUUUUGGAUGGGCCCGCGGCGCAUUAGCUAGUUGGUGGGGUAAAGGCUUACCAAGGCAAUGAUGCGUAGCCGAACUGAGAGGUUGAUCGGCCACAUUGGGACUGAGACACGGCCCAAACUCCUACGGGAGGCAGCAGUAGGGAAUCUUCCACAAUGGGCGAAAGCCUGAUGGAGCAACGCCGCGUGGGUGAAGAAGGUCUUCGGAUCGUAAAACCCUGUUGUUAGAGAAGAAAGUGCGUGAGAGUAACUGUUCACGUUUCGACGGUAUCUAACCAGAAAGCCACGGCUAACUACGUGCCAGCAGCCGCGGUAAUACGUAGGUGGCAAGCGUUAUCCGGAUUUAUUGGGCGUAAAGGGAACGCAGGCGGUCUUUUAAGUCUGAUGUGAAAGCCUUCGGCUUAACCGGAGUAGUGCAUUGGAAACUGGGAGACUUGAGUGCAGAAGAGGAGAGUGGAACUCCAUGUGUAGCGGUGAAAUGCGUAGAUAUAUGGAAGAACACCAGUGGCGAAAGCGGCUCUCUGGUCUGUAACUGACGCUGAGGUUCGAAAGCGUGGGUAGCAAACAGGAUUAGAUACCCUGGUAGUCCACGCCGUAAACGA